This 420-nucleotide ribosomal RNA is filed under the name uncultured bacterium. RNAcentral's name for it is "bacterial SSU rRNA". It matches the Rfam family "Bacterial small subunit ribosomal RNA", at positions 356 to 773 of the family's 1533-position model. The record is from RNAcentral.
GGGGAAUCUUGCGCAAUGGCCGAAAGGCUGACGCAGCGACGCCGCGUGUGGGAUGAAGCAUUUCGGUGUGUAAACCACUGUUGCCCGGGACGAACACCUCUUUUCGAAGAGGCUGACGGUACCGGGUGAGGAAGCACCGGCUACCUCCGUGCCAGCAGCCGCGGUAAUACGGAGGGUGCGAGCGUUGUCCGGAAUCAUUGGGCGUAAAGGGCGCGUAGGUGGCCCGGUCAGUCUUUGGUGAAAGCGCGGGGCUCAACCCUGCGUCGGCCAGGGAUACUGCCGCGGCUCGAGCACUGUAGAGGCAGGCGGAAUUCCGGGUGUAGCGGUGGAAUGCGUAGAGAUCCGGAAGAACACCGGUGGCGAAGGCGGCCUGCUGGGCAGUUUAGCUGACACUGAGGCGCGACAGCGUGGGGAGCAAAC